RNAcentral lists this long non-coding RNA (1019 nucleotides) under Salvia miltiorrhiza (redroot sage). RNAcentral describes it as "long non-coding RNA (SMIL_LNC004912)". The record is from RNAcentral. Lineage: Eukaryota; Viridiplantae; Streptophyta; Magnoliopsida; Lamiales; Lamiaceae.
GCAAAUUCAACAACGACAGAAGACCAAUACAGGCUUGUUACCCUAUUCACAAGUCUUCGUUUCAGCACUACUCUAAAGACACCAUUAUCCCUAUUCCUUCACAAGCCAGGAUUUUCUGUAAAAAUAUUAGUAUUAUAAGUCUAGGCCACAAUGACCACCACAUACUUCCAUUUAUAAACUAGUUCACGUAUAAGUUUUUUGAAGUUGCAAUUCAUUUGGGUUUUGAAAGGAACAAAGUCCUUUAAAUCCCAACAAGGAAAAUAUUGCUCAAACCAUGUUUUAUAAAGUCAAAACCCAUUAAUAAAGAAAAAGAAGAAAGCCAUUUCUUUAGUUCAAGAAAACAUGAUAAAUGCCAGCGACGAAUUGGGUGAAAUUGAUUUUCUGAACCCUAUUGCAUCAAUUUUUUCAUUUUACCAGCGACGAAUCCUGCAAUUAGUUUGGCGAAAAAAUACAUCCACAAUCGGAAAUCAACAGACGAACAACAAUUAUGUGGUUGAAGAGCUAGGCCUGACCUGAUUCGGAAGAUGACGCUGAUUCCCCGAUGUUGCUGUUACACCCGCUGUGUCCAGAUUUCCGAUGGGAUUCCGUCAAUUGCCUUUGGAACUUUUCGCCCCCAAAACUUCCGACACAAAUGGAAUGGGAAACGAUGGAGGCGGUGAGAAGCUAGAGCAAAAAAAUUAUCAUCGAAACUUGCGAGAAGGGUAGCAAAAAAUUAAUCUAGAUCCGCAGGGUAAAAGUUAUCGGAUGGGGGAGGAGGUAUUAUUAGACGGGGUUAUUCUUGCAAAUUAAGACCGGGCCCUUUAUUAAACCUGGGCCAUCCGCAUAAGCCUAACAGAAUACCAAACACAGCAUAACUCUGGAAUAAAUUAACUUAUACAGGGUAUAACUAGGGAUGUCAAUGCAGCCCGAAACCCGUGGGCCGACCCGAAUAACCCGACAAAAUUAGAGGGUUAGGGUUGAAAAAUCGCAACCCGAAAAAACCUCCAGCCCGAUUAGCCCGCACCCGACUAACCCGGAAC